CUGAAGUCCAAAGCCUUAACCACUACACCACACUGCCAAGCUAGGUCGCUGCUGCCCCACUUAGCUAUUUAUGAAGCUUCACAACAAGUGUUUGAAGAUUUUUUAGAAGAUGAUAAAACUCUUGAUGUAAGUCCCCUUAAAUCCUCCAGCAACAACAAGCCAGACUCUAUAUUUUAUCAAGAUGGCUGAAGCUCUUGCCCAGCUAAGAUGCCUGGAGGAUGAGAAGACCGGGAGAGAGACAAUACCUUCCCCAAGACAUGAGAGGGCAUUUGGAUGAUUCUGGAGCUAUUGACUGCAGCACUUCCACGGCACCAGGAAGUCCCACUGAAAAAGAAUCCAGGAGCACCUGGAGCACAUCCGGGGACAAUAUAAAAGGGGCCACAUCACUUCAUUCUGGGAGCCAGAGUCGAG
Molecule: long non-coding RNA, 411 nt
Organism: Polypterus senegalus (gray bichir)
Lineage: Eukaryota; Metazoa; Chordata; Cladistia; Polypteriformes; Polypteridae
Exons: 3
Source: RefSeq, a predicted model, not a curated record